This 59-nucleotide transfer RNA is filed under the name Engaeus sericatus. Its description in RNAcentral is "tRNA-Ala". Lineage: Eukaryota; Metazoa; Arthropoda; Malacostraca; Decapoda; Parastacidae. RNAcentral also lists the same sequence under 1 other name. The record is from RNAcentral.
GAAACCGUAGUCAACUAUGACAUAUGACUUGCAUUCAUAAAGUGUAUUAACCUGUUUCA